AACUGCGUCUGGCAUGAUCGUUUGUACUUCAGAUAUGACAUGGAUAAUACCCGGUAGGGAUCAAUCGGAAACGUCUGGUUCAGAAGGCAGAAAGCAAGGAGAGUCUGAGGACAUAUGGGGUGUAACCGAGUUGGAACUCGAUAAGAUCGGGGUUUCACAUUGCCAUUAGGAUAGAUUUUUCCUUUUGUGCGUAAUUACCUCUUUUCAGGAAUUGCUUCCUUUGUA
RNAcentral lists this long non-coding RNA (225 nucleotides) under Lathyrus oleraceus (garden pea). RNAcentral describes it as "Pisum sativum (pea) long non-coding RNA (PSAT_LNC032143)". The record is from RNAcentral. Lineage: Eukaryota; Viridiplantae; Streptophyta; Magnoliopsida; Fabales; Fabaceae.